UUGUCAGUUGCGCCUUCAGCCCUCCCCGAGGAAUGCACUGGGGGCCGUCGCAGGGGCUGGGGCAGAGCAGGGGGCAUGAGACCUGUCCCUCACCAGCUCCCAUGCUGCGGGAUCCAAGUGCCUGCUCCCAGGCCUCUGCACACACACCACACUGUUCCCUCUGCUUUGCCUGCUGUGCCCUCUGGGCUUCUUUCCCCUGGGAAAAAGCCUCUUUACAUUUCAAGGCUGGUCCCUCAUUUCCAGCAGAAAACUGUUUUCCUGGACUGUCUUUUUCUUGGCUUACGGAUUUGUGACUGCACUUUCCCAAGAAGUGUUGAAGCUCGGCUCACAUUUUUGUGUGGAGAACCAGCUAACCCCUUCCUCAAAGUUUUUGUGAGGAAAAGUAAUUUAAAUGUUUGAAAAAGAGUUGUAACCUGGUAAAGUGCCUCCGAAGGCUGCUGAGUGCCUCAGAGAGCAGGUACCGCGUGCUUGCUGCGUGUGGGUGUUCGGGCCAGGUACUUUGGGGUUAUGUGUGUCAACGUGACCUGGUCCCUACCUGCCAUCACCUGGGGGGGGGGCUGUGAACAAUUCCUGUCAGUGUUGAUAGGAGACAGUGAGACUGUGCCAUCAACGGUAGUCUCCGUGACCCUGGACCCUCAGAACAAGCCUGCGAAGUAGGUACUAUCAUAUUACCUUCUAUGAGUAUCCCCAUUUAACAGAUGAGAAACUGAGGCCCAGAGGGAUGAAGUAGCUUGUCCAGGAUCAAAUACAUAGCAAAUACUGGAACUGGGAUUUGCAGCUGGCAAUUGAGAAGGAGGCUGGAAUCCAGAGAAGAGGGUUCUGGAGUUCAGAGGGGAGUCCAGCUUCCCACGGGGGGUGGGGGGGGAGGAAGGUGACCUGGGGUGGGUGCAGGCCAGAGCGGGGAACGUGUUUCCUAGGCAGCCUGCAGGGAAGACUGAAAAUGCCCCAUGUUUGGGGGUGGGGGAGACGCUGAUGAGAGUCUGGGGAGCACAGGAGGGGCACAGGGAGAGGUGGAGAUGUGGCACUCAACUGGGGCUCCCGGGGACUUUUUUUUUGGCCACCCGCAGCAUAUGGAGUUCUGGGCCAGGGAUUAGAUCCCAGUUGCAGGUGCCACCUAGCCUGCAGCUGUGGCAAUGCCAGCUCCUUAAUCCACCGUGCCGGGCUGGGGUUCAAAUCUGCGUCCCAGUGCUCCUAAGACACUGCCGAUCCCAUUGCACCGCAGGGUUUGACUUUUAAUGCAGGGGUGACAGAUGGCUGGUCUGUCCACAUGCUGUCACAUGGGCAGCUCCUACGGGUCACCAGCACCCUUCCUCCGUUUCUUCAAGGGACAAAGCGACUUUGCUCUAGAGCAGAACACUGAUCGUCCCACACAUAUGUCCCUACUUUUGUUGCUGUCGCUGUGAGGUUUUUAAACUGGAGACCAUUUCACUUUCACACACCAACCACAAUGUCGAAUAAAUUGGUUGAACUUGUAGAUUUAUAUCCGCA
This 1488-nucleotide long non-coding RNA is filed under the name Sus scrofa (pig). RNAcentral's name for it is "lncRNA (ENSSSCG00060061397.1)". The record is from RNAcentral. Lineage: Eukaryota; Metazoa; Chordata; Mammalia; Artiodactyla; Suidae.